GCGCCAUAGUACGGCGCUACGAGCAAGGGGACUUCUAAUCCCAAGGUCGUAGGUUCGAGUCCUACCGGGCGCACCA
Molecule: transfer RNA, 76 nt
Filed under: Dactylosporangium roseum
Lineage: Bacteria; Bacillati; Actinomycetota; Actinomycetes; Micromonosporales; Micromonosporaceae
Description: tRNA-Ser
Source: RNAcentral